UACGUAGGGUGCGAGCGUUAAUCGGAAUUACUGGGCGUAAAGCGUGCGCAGGCGGCGCGUUAAGACAGGUGUGAAAGCCCCGAGCUUAACUUGGGAAUUGCGCUUGUGACUGGCGUGCUGGAGUGUGGCAGAGGGAGGUGGAAUUCCACGUGUAGCAGUGAAAUGCGUAGAGAUGUGGAGGAACACCGAUGGCGAAGGCGGCCUGCUGGGCAGUUUAGCUGACACUGAGGCGCGACAGCGUGGGGAGCAAACAGG
This 255-nucleotide ribosomal RNA is filed under the name uncultured bacterium. RNAcentral's name for it is "partial 16S ribosomal RNA". It matches the Rfam family "Bacterial small subunit ribosomal RNA", at positions 524 to 776 of the family's 1533-position model. The record is from RNAcentral.